This 12609-nucleotide long non-coding RNA is filed under the name Lynx pardinus (Iberian lynx). Lineage: Eukaryota; Metazoa; Chordata; Mammalia; Carnivora; Felidae. The record is from RNAcentral.
CUAAGAGAACCGGCUGCCUGCAGCCCUCCCAAGGGACUCCACUGGUAUUCUGAUCCCUGAGAGGCAUGUCCUCUAAUCUUUGCCCCUGGGUCCAUGUGGCAAUGGUUGUGGAAGCAAAUGAUUACAGUAGGUGGGAGGCUCCCUUCUGGAUGGAUGAGAAGGAAGCAGAGCAUGGAGUUAGGGGCCUGACUGCACCGAGGUUCUUGCCUGGUCCCCACUCAGAGGCUGAGUCAUGCUGCUCAGGUAGCCAGAGAUGUCUAAUAGGUGACUUGUUCCAAUGUUGACUGUGUUUUUAUGACACUAAAAUAGGCCUGCAGAAAUAUUCUUUAUCCUGCAAAAAUGUUGCUGCCCUGGUUCAGCCACAAGACACUUAAUCUCUUCCGAACCCCUUUCCAUACGGGAACAUUAAAACAGUGGUUCUCAAUCGGGAGACAUCUGCCUCCCAGGAGACAUUUGGUGAUGUCUGGAGACAUUUCUGGUUGUCACAACUGGGGGUGGUGAUGAGGUGCAACUGUACCUAGUGAGCAGAGGCAAGGGACACUGUUAAACAUUCUCCAGCACAUGGGACAGUCCCUACAAUAAAGAAUUAUCUGGCCCAAAUGUCAAUAGUGCCGAGGCUGAGAAAUUGCGGAUCGGAUCGAAGGAAGCACUCUAGCUCUCUCUAGCACCUUCUCAUGUCCCUGUAAAAUGUGAAGGAAAGAAAAAUAGCAUCUACAUUUAAAUGCAUAUGGGGUGCCUAUUACUUGCUCAGUACUUUUACAACCACCAUGCAGAAUAGGCACUGUUAUCUCAAGGACGCUGAGAUUCAGACAGAGUAAGACACCUGACCAGGCUCACACAGCAAUGAAGAGCUGGAGUAGGAAUUUAUACCCGUGUUUGCCUGGCUCUGAUGUCAUCACCCUUGCUGAGUGACACCCUGCCUUAGGAACUGGAGAGCUGCCUCCAUGCCAGAAACCAUGCUGGGUGCAAAGGGUAAACAAAGACAAUGGGGGUGGGGGAGGGGGGGUUGCCUGAUCCAGUUUCAGAACUAUCACAGAUCUUUACAAUGCAAGGAGCCAGGGAGAGAUGGAAAGAGAAAUGCAGGCAGGAGGCACCCAGAGCAGUGUUUUUCAAACUCUUUUGAACAGACGCAUAGAGAUAGGGAAGGAGAAGGAUUGGAGUGUGCAGGUAAGCAGCCACCCAGCUCCUGGAGGUGACAGGCUCUGCUUUCAUUGUUCUGGAUACUGGGAUUGAACAUGAAUUCUAUUGGCAAGCAAAGUUUCAGCUAAAAGUAUUUGAACGCCUUUGUUUCUAAAAGAACUCAAGAGAAGAUGAAGUUGUUUUUCAGAAGAAAGUUCAGGAGAGCAAUAAGGAAGGAACCACAAAAUAUUUUACAUGGGCUUUAAGGGCCAGUGAAACAUGGACCCCUGUGACUGAAAGAAGAGGGACAGAGGAACAUUAGGGAGUGGAAGGGAGUGGAGUGCAGCCCCUGGGAGAUGAAGGGGGAGGACAAAGUAGGAGCUGGCCAGGGGAGUCUGAUGGUGUCUUAAGGCCAGAGGUCUCAGAACUCGGGCUGUCCUCAGGAUCUGAGGAAGCCAUACUUCAUUCUGUAGACAGUGGGAAUUAGUGAAGAUUUUUGUGCUGAGUGACAGGGGGAGGGGUGGCAGAAUGAGGUGGAGAAAGGAGGAGACCAGGCUGGGAGAGGCAAGGUAGCACAUGUACACAUGGCACUUACAACAUGCCCCAGGAGGCUCCCUGUGGGGCCGUCCCUGUGCCCAGCACCAAGUGCCCAGGAAUGGGAGUGCACAGAGGAAUUCAUGCCUGAGACGUGCUUCCCUCCAAUAAUCAGCUAAGCCCUUUGUAGCAAAUGGCAUUUUAGCUAUUAGGAAUUUACUUUUUAAAAAUUACACACGUGUAAUUUUUAGAUAAAUUUUUAUUGUUGUUGGUUUUGUGUUCUCCUGACUUGAUUGGCUCCUCUCUCCUCACCUCAUCUCCUGUGACUCAUGUUGACUAAGACGUAUCCUCCCGCAUUUUUCAUAUAAAUCCCAUAAUCACAUACUAAUUUAUUUAUAUUUAUAUAUCUGUGUUUAUACACACAUAGGUUUUGCAUCAAUGUUUCCCAAUUUUGGAUCAUAUUGUUCAUACUCUUUCUUCUCUCUACAUAUCUUGAAGAAAUCCCCCUUCAUCAUCUGGCAAGGUUCUAUGUCAGUGCUUUGCUGCCUCAUGUCACUGUACAAUGUGGAUCUGCUGGAAUGAAGUUAACCAGUCCCUGAGGAUGGACAUUUAGGUUGCUUCUACAUCCGUGUCUUUGCAGAGGAUGCUGAAAUAAACACCCUUGUUGGUUUCAUUAGGCAGCACAGGACAGCUGUUAAAAGUCUACAUUCUAGAGCUGGACUAAGUUUGAUUUCUGGCUCUGACACUUACUAGCUGUGUUACCUUGGGAAAGUAUUAAACCUGAGUAUCAGUUCCCUCAUUUGUAAAAUAGAAGAUCAUAAUAAGAUGUGUAACUCAUGUAGAGCCUUUAAAAGACACCUGGUCCAGGGGCGCCUGGGUGGCGCAGUCGGUUAAGCGUCCGACUUCAGCCAGGUCACGAUCUCGCGGUCCGGGAGUUCGAGCCCCGCGUCGGGCUCUGGGCUGAUGGCUCGGAACCUGGAGCCUGUUUCCGAUUCUGUGUCUCCCUCUCUCUCUGCCCCUCCCCCGUUCAUGCUCUGUCUCUCUCUGUCCCAAAAAUAAAUGAACGUUGAAAAAAAUUAAAAAAAAAAAAAAAAGAUACCUGGUCCAUAAUAAGCACUUAAUAAGUAUUAGCUAUUAUAAUUAUUUUUUAAAGUUUAGUUAUUUAUUUUGAGAGAGAGAGUGAGCAGGGGAGGGGCAGAGAGAGAAGGAGAGAAAGGAUCCCAAGCAGCUCACAGAGCAGAGCCUGAUGCAGGACUUAAACUCAGAGUUGGAUGCUUAAUCGACUGAGCCACUCAGGUGCCCCAAUAUUAGCUAUUAUUAUAGGAGUCCUCAUAGUAGUGAUUUUGUUUCUGUGAGAUAGAUUCAUGGGCCAAAGGGGUAUAUUGGGUUUUACAUUUUUAGUAUAUAUCAUUCGUUGCAUUUUUAAAAAUGCUGUAAUAAUUCAUGUUCCUACUGGUAAUACAUGAGAGUAUCCUUUUACCCAUAUCCCUUUCCAAAAGCGAUAAUAUAACUUCUUAAUUUUUGCCAAUUUGAUAGUUAUGAAGUGAUAAAUCUUUAUUACUUUAUUUUGCAUUCCCAUGGCCAUAAAAUUGACAGUGAAAUUGAAGUUCUUUGGCUUUUUGAUUAUUUGGAAUUUUCUCUUCUCUGAACAGCUUUUUCAUGGUCUCCUUUGAUUUUUGUAGAAUUGUCUUCCCUCUUCCUUUCAAGUUGUAAGAUCUCUUUGAAAUCCAUACUAUAAAUUUUCAAUCUCAAAAUCAAAAGCUUGCCUUUUGACUUUAUUUAUGGUAUUUCUGUCAUCAAAAGUAUUUUAAUUUUAAAUAUUCAAAUAUAUAUUUUCUAUUAUAGAUUCUAGGGUUUCAAUAAUGAUUUUAAAAGUUUCUACCACUCAAGGUUUCUGAGUUUCUUUUAUGUUUUUAAUAUUUAUGUUCUAGAAUAUCUAGAGGUUUGAAUUACUGAGGUUUGAAGAAAUUUUGUUACAUUUUUUUUACAUAUGCUUUCAAAUUAGAAAUUGAACCUAUUUUUGUUGUUGCACAGCUAAUUGUAUUGGCAUCACUAACUAAUGAAUCCAUUCUUUUCCAGCUGAAUUGAAGUACAUAUAUUAAAUCCUCAGGUCUAUUUCGGAUAAUGCAAGUGUUCAAAGUGAGCAUUCUUUCUAAUGGUUUUGAAACUUUUCCAGAAAUUUGUCACAAGUUCUGAAGAAAGCUGGGUUAAGAGAUGAACAAAAUGGACACAGUCACAACUGGUCAUGCACAUCUGAAUGGUGACUUCUAUCUAAACUGAUUUAUGCCCCACAGCUACUCUAGGGCAUUGUUGGGAGGGCUACACAGAUUCAGUCACAGAUGAGAGCCGUGAAGCUCUUGGUCUAGGAAAGAUCCUAGGGACUGCUGUUGGAUGACUUGGGGCAAGGGAGUUCAUCUGAUCCUUGACUCAAAUGAAAACUACACACUGACCUCUUCUGUAAGGAGGGGCCAUGGGAGGUUGAAGGGCCAGGAGACAUCCAAUGGGAUCUUGUGACAUUGUGGUUUCUAACUACUAAUUCAAGACUCUGCACACGUAGCAAGGGAUAUUUAAACUGUGUUAUCCAGGACUUCUUAAGUUCCAUAAAACUCUACAAUUAUACUUAAUACCCACUUGGCCAACCUCUAAACAUGUUCAAAGUAGCCUCCCUCCUCCCCCCAACCUCCCCUUGCUAAAGACCUGAAAGCAGAAGAUUUUUACCACCCAAGUAGUGUCUGCUUGGAAAGGGAGAGAGGUCAGGGUAGAGUCAAAGGCUUUAGGAGAUUUUCACUUGAGAGGUCCUAGAAUUUCUGGUUGUGACACUGAUAAUGUUAGAUCUGUCACCAUUACUGACAUGAAAUGACCACAUGGACUCUAGUUGUUGCACGAAAACUGAUUAAGCAGUGUCAAAUUUGAAAACUGGCUUCUGAAAAUUCUUCUUGUGCUGACGAUUAUGUAAAGAGUGACUCAUACCACAGUAACUGCUUAAGUGAUGCAUGAUAAUACUUAAAACAGAGUGUGUCUGACACUCCAGCAUGUGGCCUCAAAAUAGAGAAGGUGUUCACCUAUUUCAAUUGUUUAGACAUCAAUGCAUCUUAGAUUUGCUCUGGGAAAAGUGGCAUUUAGAAUCAUCAAGACCGAAAAAGAAUUUCUAGUGGUAAUUUCAGAGAGGACAACUGGUAGAAUCUUUAAUGACAUUCAAAAAUAAGCACUUGUUCUGAAUCCCAAGUAUUCUGAAUUAAAAAUUAAAAUGAGAUUGAAAUUCUUAUAGCAAAGGAUUUUUAACUGAGGGUUACUCCAUCCAUCCAUCCAUCCAUCCAUCCAUCCAUCCAUCCAUCCAUCCUUCUUGCCUCCCUUCCAUCCUUCUUUCUUUGCUUCCUUCCACACAUAUUUAUUGAGUGCCAAAUUGUGAUUAGGAAAACAGACCCUGGUCUUACAGGGCUUACAUUCUAGGGGGAGAGGCAAACAAUAAUGAAUUAUAAGUAUAUAAAUUAAAUAUAUAAAUAUGCUUUAUUUCAUAUAGCAAUAAAUUCUGUCACUAUAAAAAGCUGUUAAGUUGGAGAAUUAUAAAUGGAUGGGAUAUUUUAAAUUGAGUGAUCAGGCCCUUAGAGAUGUUUAAGCUGAAUGUGAAUCUUUACUAUUCAAGCAUAAUAAUCUGAAAAUAUAUGCAUUUUCACCAUUCAUACUUUAUAGUAGAUACAAAAAUAAGAUUGGAGUUUUGCAAAUUUAUAGUUUUGUUGCUUCCAUUCAAAAAUAUAUGAGAAUUUCUUACUUGAUAUUUUCUUAUACAUCGUAUUUGGCAAGUGGGAAAUUUCAUAUACUUAAACCCCCAUCAUCUAUAAUCCGACAUCACGUGUUGCUCAUUUGUUCAUUAUCCUUCUGAAAUAACUUUCCAUUACCACUGUUUCUGCCCUAGUUUAUUUUCUUUUGAAAGAACUAUUUCAACAGCCUCUUAAAUGACACCCCAUCACCCACUCCAAUUCAACUACUUAUAACCAGAGCUGACUUUCUAAAAUACAGAUCUGAUCAAGACAUUCCUCUAAAAAUAUUACACUGUCAUCUUCAUGAUAAAAUCUGAACUCCCUGGAAUCCCAUCAGAAGCCCUUUCCUACCGGACAUGAGGAUGCCUUUAUAUCCUCCUUAUGUCUCAUUUUGCAUCCACACCAAACUGACGUGUUUGUUCACCCCUCCACCCCACUGUGAAUGUUGGGACCUCUGUCUGGAAGUCCCUUAUUCCCACUCAUUCUUAAAGCUCCUUAUACCUAAUACUAAUUACCAUACAAUGUGAUAUGUGCAUAAUAAGGUAUAUAUGGCAAUUAUCACUUUGUAUUGUAAUUUGCCUUAUUAAAUAUCUGCCUUUGCCUUAGUAUGAUGUUUAGAGCCUGAUGCUGGAGCCAGGUUGCCUGGGUUCCAAUCCCAACUUAGUUGAUGACUAUCUCUGUGACUUUGGUUAUGUCUGUACCUUAUUUUCUUCAUCUGUAAAAUCAGGAUACUCAGUAUCUGGGUUAUAGUAUUGUUAUACAAAAAUGUCUAGAACAUUGCCUGGCAUGGUUAGUAAGCUUUCAAUGGAUGCUUUAUUAUUUAGUUUUAUAUUAAUUUCUGUAUCUCCAGGGACAUAAAAUCAGCAUACAAUAGAGAUUAAAAGAAUAAAAAGAUCAGCAUAUGAACACCUCACUACUAUGCAAAUGGAAUAAUCAUGAUCAAAGAAGUAAGAUAUGGAAUUUGUAGUAUUAGUUUGAGAUUUUUGUAGUCAAAGACACAUACGGUAGAUAUACAGUUUAGCAAAUGGUAAUAACUCUAGUGGAUGGAUUGAAAGUCCUGAAUUGUAGAAGCUCUUCUGGUUAUUUUUAAUCCCUGCCUUACACCUUCAUGGGUUUCCCACCAUUCCUUGCCUUGCAUGGUGACCUUGGGACAGGCUGCUAUGGGCUACAAAAUCUGGAGCUCUCUUGCCUUCUGGUUUAUGGUUGGUUUGGCUGAUGGGACUGGAAGAUGGAAGAAAGUGUCAGGAUACUCUUUCCCAGCCAGUCUCUGCCUGACUCAUGUCUUUUGUGACCACAAGUCCCAUGAGAGGACCAACGGGGCUUUAACUCCAACUGCUCUCUCUUGCUUGUCAUGAGUGUUAUCACUGCUGAUUGACAGGAUCCUUAUCACCUUGGAAAGUCAGUGGUACAGAUAAAUAAAGAAACAGCAAUUACAAGACAUCCUUUCAGGGCUAUGACAAAAACUUGGAUUUUUUUUUUCAGUUUACUAAUGUGUAUAUAUAGAUUCCUCACUGUAUUUAUUCAUAUUGGGAUCUCUCGACACUUGACUAGAAACAAAGGGAAGCAAGUGGAAUCCAUAUACUCCUCUGUAUACGCUUUGAAUUUCCCUGGCUGUUUUCCAGUGUAUGUGAAGCCCACAAUUAGCAAGCAGGAGCCAGAGAAUUUCAAGUGGCUGCAGUCCGGUGGGAGCUUGCAGGGAAGGCCCCUCUGCCCAUCUCUUUGGGUAGUGCCUGGCCUGCAAGUGACUGAUGGAGAGGCCCUGAGCAGUGUGAGAAGAGAUGGAGGCUUUCUGUCAGUAACAGGUAGAGUUUGGGCACCGAGCAGAGUGCAAAGCUCCCAGGGGACAUGUGCAUUUACUGCUGACAUUGUAAGAGCUUUAAAGCCAUAGAUGAUUUGGGGCGCCUGGGUGGUGCAGUCGGUUAAGCGUCCGACUUCAGCCAGGUCACAAUCUCGCGGUCCGUGAGUUCGAGCCCCGCGUCGGGCUCUGGGCUGAUGGCUCAGAGCCUGGAGCCUGUUUCCGAUUCUGUGUCUCCCUCUCUCUCUGCCCCUCGCCCAUUCAUGCUCUGUCUCUCUCUGUCCCAAAAAUAAAUAAAUGUUGAAAAAAAAAAUAAAGCCAUAGAUGAUUUAAAAAAAAGUGUGACUUUUGAGCAAUUAAUUGCACAUGGAAGGUAUGAGCCCUCUAUAUUAAUGGCCCUGGUACAAGGAAGGUGUGGCUUGUGGAACAAUACUCAUUUAUGAAGCCAAUCUUCAAAGACAUGUUAUUUCAAACACCUCAAAGUAGCAGGUGUGUGCUAAAAUAAAAUAAGAUGGAUCUGUCUCUGCUCCAAUGGAGUUUACUUUCUAGGGGAGAAUCACAUAAAACAGAGUAUGAGACACAGAAGAAGGCCAGAGAAAGAUAAAGACUAAAAUAACAAAAGAGCAAAAAGUGACCAGUGCAAGGAUGCCUCCUCCAGCCACACCUGAGCAACAUUUCAAGCCUGGGUGAUGUUUGAAUCCUGCAAAGCUGACUAAUUUUCUCACUUUUCAUUUCUGGUGUAUAUAGUGAAAAGGAGGGCUGGGGGUGGGAGUCACUCCUCCUCCCCGGCAGACCCCUGCACAGGCCUGUUCUGCAUCAGGAACAAUUUCCAGCUUUACAAAGUCAAGGCUGUGACCGUGAUGGGUCUCCUAAUCUUUAUGAUCUGUUUUCUUAGGUGUGAUGUAUUGGUCACAUCAAGAAUCAUCUUUCUAAAAACUGGGCAUGUGGGUGGUGGGAUAAAAUGUCCUGGGGACUAAGGAAGGAAGGAGAGCCUUGCACCUAGGUCUAAGAUCAGCCACAGCUCUCCCCAAGGUUGGGGGGGUAGCACCUGCUUGGGCCAUCAGAUUUGAGAACUCAGGAUUCAGGUUUCCUCAGUGUUGUCAACCUCCUGGCUGCAAGGGUGACAGUGACAAAGCCUCGGGUGGGGGCCUCAGCACCCAGUCACUGCCCACACAUUGUGCAAGGCCUAGAGUGACAUCAAGGUGUGAGCCCUCCUUGGCGCCCCUCAGUAUAAGGCCUGCGAAAGAGCUAACCUAGCACUUGAGGGUGCUCAGUUUUCUUUGUAAAACCAUUUGCUACAAGACAAAAGGAUGGCUGGUAGGAAAAUACCCCGAAGGGAUAGCUGCAGCAUCACCGUUUGGCUGAGAUGCCCACAACCCAGUAAGGCUUCCCUCCCAAAGCGAAAGCAAGCUGUGCCCCAGUGCCUCAGGUUUGCUCAGCCACGGCCAUGACCGCCCAAAGGAAACCUGUUCCCUGCUCCCAGGACCCCCAAGGUGAGGAUGAGAGAAGAGUUUGACUCCACGUGAAUUUCACCAUACGAUCUGGCGCCUGUGCUGGUUCUGCAUCCCUUGUCUCCACCAGCCCAGGGCUAGAGGGACUGGAGGUUCAGAGCUUCAGCCUCACCUCAGAGGAGAGGUCCCUGCUCACUUUAUAACAAUUUGCUGUGCAACGUGCAGCACCACAGGGAACUCAUCUGAAUGAGCUCUGUAUAGACUGCUAGCUGCUCAGAAAGCUACCUGCAAUUUUGUUCCAAGCUAAACAGUAAAUAUCCUCAAGGAGACUGGGAACGUCCUCAGGUGGAAGUCCUCACAUCCCUUCCUUUGGAGAGACAAGGUUAGCUAGCACCUCCAGGGCAGGCAUUUUCGGGCCUUUGACCUUUCUGAAGGAGCCAUCCAGAGAACUCUGUUACUGCCUGCAAUAUCCCCGAAUAGCCAGUUUCCUUCCUCACUGCAGUGAAGUAACUCACACAUGGAUAGAGCAUUUUUAGCGCCUCUGUGCCAGAGAUGAGCAGAGGGCAACCAGCCAGAUUGACAGCAGGGGCCAGGCAGUUGGCCAGCCACCUUCUCCAGUGGCAGGUGACUGAGGCCACCCUCAUGUAGCACAUGAGCAGGUCACAAGUCCAGCAAGUCUUCUGUGCUUCUCAUUAGACCUCCAUCUGUAGCCUCACUCCCUGUUUGCACGAAAACAUGCUCAACUGCAAGGUUUUCUUCAAAAUGUUGAGUCCCCAUAAUGCCACCAUAGAGCUGACCCCGUGACCCUGUGCUACCAUCCAAAUGCGGCUCCCUUGGUCAUCUCAACACUCUUACUUCCUUGAUGACCUCAGUUCUGUUCACUGAAUCAUAUUUUCUGGAGCCCUGGAGCCCUGGAGCCCCCCUUCUAUUGCCUGCACACCCCCUCUGCUUCCACCCCUCCAGCCCUCCUCUCCCUGCCCCAGCAGGUCUCCCCUGAGCACCUCCUGUUCCACCAGGCUGCUCCUUCUGUUGUCACUCUCAUCCUAGGCACGCAGCUCUCUGCCCACUCCUUCUUAGCUUUUUCAGGGACCCGCGACUCUGCCCACACCUGGCACAUCCAUGUUGUCCACUUCACCGCGGUCCUCUGCUCUGGUGGCCCUCCACCCAAGCUCUGCGGGCUCUCACCUCCUCUCACAGCUAAGUCACUCGGCUGUCUUCCAAACCUCAAUUUCUAGCCCAGAUGCUCUCCUGCCAACCAGAGUUCCAGUUACAUAAUACAUCAAUCUGUCUUUAUAACAGAAACUGCAAACUACCUGUAAAAGAGUGAAUUCCUCAUCUUUCCUCUAAAUAUUGUUUACUUCACAUAACUCCUGUUACAGCUAGCAGUAUCAGCCCACCCAACCGGGAACUCCAGACACAUGCUAUACUUCUCUCUCUCUCACCUCUACAUUCUGUCUGUGAACAAACUAGCUCCAUCUCUUCUCCCUCCAGGAUGUCCCUGAAGUCAGUCCCUUCCUUUUUCAGAUGCUGCCUCUGCCUGAGUUUGAACCUCUAUUUCUCCCCUUGACUCAUCAACAGCUUUAUAGCUAGCCUUGCGCUUUCCAGCCUUACCUCCUCAAAUGUGUCUCCAUGCUAUAGCAAGAUUUGUUUUUCAAAACCACAAAUCCAGUGACAGCAUUCUCCAUACAGGGUCAUCUGCCUCUCCCUUCCGUCCCCAGCUUCACCUCCCACCACAACCCCGAGGUCAUUCUCUGCUCUGAUCUGUCUUCACUGCUUGCUGAAGGCUCCGUUCCCUUUCAUGCUUUUCAAUUCUUACUUCCCAUUUUGGUUUCUGCGAAGGUCUUCUCUCCCUUUCUCUGCUGAGUCUCCUGUUCAACUGUUCCUUAAGACUUGGUGCAAUUAAUCAUCCCCUUUUUUUAUAAGAUAUACUGGGUUCACUCCCCACUUCCCACCCCCUACCUUGGGUGGAGUGAGACAUUUCUUCCUGUGAUUUAGCACAGUUCUCGGGCUUAUAUACACACCCCAGACUUAACACACACAAAUGCACAUGCACGUUAAGUAGGUAUAACCUGGCAUUUAGGACACUGUAGCGUAGCUGUUGGUCUACUCCUGUGCUUCUCCCACUCCCACUCCACAAUUUCACCUUUAUAUCAUCCUGACACAUAGUACAUACUUGGUUUAUAAUUGCUAAAUUCAUGAAGCAUCCCCACAAUACCUUAGCAUAGUCAUAUGUGGUAUCAUAUUUGAUGAAAAUAUUUAUUGAUUGCUCACUCUCAUUCAUGACUUCUAAGGCACCAUCUUAAAUUUCAUGCUCAUGGUAUAAUCUGUGUAUGUAGGUACUCUUGUGCCACGGGCACUACAGCACUCUCUACUGUUGGAAUGAACCCUGCCUGAUAUGACCUAAGUCAGAGCUGGCAUUCAAUUGUCAGGGUCAUAAGUCCCCUUAAGGGCCACUUGCCUGCUCCACCGGCCCUGUCUCUGUGUUUCUGCCUCACAGACUUCAACAUCCACUCAUUGAUAAAUUACAGGAAAAGGAGCAACAAAGGGCAACCUUUGGUUCUUCCCUUAUGUCAAACACUUGAUGUAGACACAAUGCUGCCUCAGCUCAAGAACUUCAGAGCUCAGAGUUUUUGGAGAGAGAGGACGUGUGCAAUAGCUGGAAGCUUCAGCAGAGGUGGGUUAUUUGGAUGUUGUAAACCAAAAUGUGGGGAUCAGGGCUCUGAGCCCAGGAGGCCACGUAUCACCCCGGGAGUUCCCUUUGCCAGUAGCUGCUGCAACACAUGAUAAACAAGCAAUGCCAGAUAAGAACCCACAUCUGCAGUUUCCAGGACUCAUUUCCCUCUUAACAGCAGGAGCACCUGCAGUGAGAGUGGGGGUAAUUUUCAAUCCAGGUGUGGUGGUGCCAUAGCAGGAAAAAGCUUGCAACCUAGAUGUCCUAUGUGGCUUUUUGGAGACUUCUAAUACCCAUAUCUGAGGUAUCUCACCCACAGAAUUGCAUUGUGUUGACUGAUGCUUAUCUUCUUACACAUCUAAGUGGUAAUAUGCCUCAACAGAAGAGAACAAAAGAGAGAUUGGAUUUUCAAGUCAGGAGGAUGCUCAGAGAGCACCUGGCCCAACAGCCUUAUUUCCCAGUAAGAUGCAGAAGCUGAUGUCCACAGUGCUAAAACCUCUGGUCCAAAGUAAAAAGAAUUCAAACCCACAAAUACCUCUAAGAAGCCUCCACUGAGGACUAAUGAUUUUAGUAGAGUUUUCAAUAUUUAGUAAAAAUUUCAACAUUCAAUUGUGUCUACUUACCUUAGGGUUUCCUCAGAAGGCAAUUACUGGAUUUUACAUCAAUUUGCAAUUGAUAGUAAAUUUGCAGUGUCUUUAGUAAUUUAUUUCAUGUUCUGGGUGAAAAUUAACAGUCUUCCUUCUAGGGCUUUGCUGUUCACUCUCAUCACCCCUCAUAAGAUCUGGCCCUCUGCUCUAAACAAGAAAUAGUGCUGCUCAAGAAAUACAAUCCUACUGACUCCUGACCAGGAAAGACCAGAACUUAUAAGCACAGAAAGCCAGCCUUCCAGAUCUUACCAUUCAAGAUGGUUUUCCACAAAUGCCGACAUGGGGCUGAUCUGCACCGUGUAGGUAUCAUUUGCAGAGUACUCAAAGAGUCCGUAGUAAGGGUUGAAGAGCUCCUGAGACAAAAGGAAGAAGAACUCUCGCGAAGGACCACUGUAGUCCAGACUGCAAAGGAAGCAGAGGCCCGGGAAGUUCGUUACAUGCGGGAGGUGGGGGCCUGUUUCUAUCCAGGUUCUAGUGUGUUCUUUCAGACUCAGUGCAGGGAAAGCAGAGAGCAGCCUCUGUUCUUUACAGUGGAUCCCUGCGGAAGCAUAACUUGCUGUAGAAAGUGAGGAUGCAGUAAUUGGUAGGGAUGUUGCUUACUAGAUGUCCAUGAAUAAACCCUUAGGGCAGUAUU